CAGCCGCCACGGUAAUACGAAGGUCCCAAGCGUUGUUCGGAAUCACUGGGCGUAAGGGAGCGUAGGCGGCGUGGUAAGUCAGAUGUGAAAUCCCGGGGCUCAACCCCGGAACUGCAUUUGAUACUGCCAUGCUUGAGGGUUGGAGAGGUAGCUGGAAUUCUUGGUGUAGCAGUGAAAUGCGUGGAUAUCAAGAGGAACACUCGUGGCGAAGGCGAGCUACUGGACAACAUCUGACGCUGAGGCUCGAAGGCUAGGGUAGCGAAAGGGAUUAGAUACCCCAGUAGUCCCUGUCUCUUAUACC
RNAcentral lists this ribosomal RNA (301 nucleotides) under uncultured bacterium. RNAcentral's name for it is "partial 16S ribosomal RNA". It matches the Rfam family "Bacterial small subunit ribosomal RNA", at positions 509 to 808 of the family's 1533-position model. The record is from RNAcentral.